GGGGGCGACCUGGCUUCGACGUGGGUCAAGAAGCGACGUGGUGCAUACCGAGGACCAGUCACCUCGUAAAUCCAUCUGGAAAUCUAUACUCGCCAACGACGAGCAAUUCGCAGUAGCCGCUUAAGGCUACAGCCGCUGCACUGGAUCGGUCUCUGGGUCAGGUGGGGAAACCCGCAGCAGCGUCAUUCACAGAGACUCGUGCCGCAUCGGGUUACUUGGUGCGGAGCUAAACUCAAGGUGACUCGCCUCGUGUCGGCCUGCCGGUCGGCUAAGCACGGGGUUAAAUUCAAAUAGAGCGGCUAAGUAUGUAGAUCCAGUUGUGGAAGUCUUGCGGACGCGGGUUCGAUUCCCGCCGCCUCCACCA
This 364-nucleotide transfer-messenger RNA is filed under the name Candidatus Dactylopiibacterium carminicum. RNAcentral's name for it is "Dactylopiibacterium carminicum Standard tmRNA". It matches the Rfam family "transfer-messenger RNA". Rfam says of the family: Bacterial tmRNA, also known as 10Sa RNA or SsrA, is named for its dual tRNA and mRNA-like properties. Lineage: Bacteria; Pseudomonadati; Pseudomonadota; Betaproteobacteria; Rhodocyclales; Rhodocyclaceae. The record is from RNAcentral.